Molecule: ribosomal RNA, 468 nt
Filed under: uncultured bacterium
Lineage: Bacteria
Description: partial 16S ribosomal RNA
Rfam family: Bacterial small subunit ribosomal RNA
Source: RNAcentral
GACGAACGCUGGCGGCGUGCUUAACACAUGCAAGUCGAACGGAAAGGCCCUGCUUUUGUGGGGUGCUCGAGUGGCGAACGGGUGAGUAACACGUGAGUAACCUGCCCUUGACUUUGGGAUAACGUCAGGAAACUGGGGCUAAUACCGGAUAGGAGCUCCUGCUGCAUGGUGGGGGUUGGAAAGUUUCGGCGGUUGGGGAUGGACUCGCGGCUUAUCAGCUUGUUGGUGGGGUAGUGGCUUACCAAGGCUUUGACGGGUAGCCGGCCUGGGAGGGUGACCGGCCACAUGGGGACUGGGAUACGGCCCAGACUCCUACGGGAGGCAGAGGUGGGGAAUAUUGCACAAUGGGCGGAAGCCUGAUGCAGCAACGCCGCGUGCGGGAGGCCGGCCUUCGGGUUGUAAACCGCUUUCGCCUGUGACGAAGCGUGAGUGACGGUAAUGGGUAAAGAAGCACCGGCUAACUACGUG